Molecule: transfer RNA, 71 nt
Filed under: Camelus bactrianus (Bactrian camel)
Lineage: Eukaryota; Metazoa; Chordata; Mammalia; Artiodactyla; Camelidae
Also listed under: 2 other names
Rfam family: tRNA
About the family: Transfer RNA (tRNA) molecules are approximately 80 nucleotides in length. Their secondary structure includes four short double-helical elements and three loops (D, anti-codon, and T loops).
Source: Rfam by way of RNAcentral
GGGUGUAGCUCAAGUGGUAGAGCACAUGCUUAGCAUGCACGAGGUCCUGGGUUCAAUCCCCAGUACCUCCA